CCUACGGGAGGCAGCAGUAGGGAAUAUUGCUCAAUGGGGGAAACCCUGAAGCAGCAACGCCGCGUGGAGGAUGAAGGUUUUCGGAUUGUAAACUCCUUUUGUUAGAGAAGAUAAUGACGGUAUCUAACGAAUAAGCACCGGCUAACUCCGCGCCAGCAGCCGCGGUAAUACGGAGGGUGCAAGCGUUACUCGGAAUCACUGGGCGUAAAGAGCGCGUAGGUGGGAUAGCAAGUCGGAGGGGAAAUCCUAGGGCUUAACCAUAGAACUGAAUUUUAGACUGUUGUUCUAGAGUAUGGGAGAGGUAGGUGGAAUUCUUGGUGUAGGGGUAAAAUGCGUAGAGAUCAAGAGGAAUACUCAUUGCGAAGGCGACCUGCUAGAACAUAACUGACGCUGAUGCGCGAAAGCGUGGGGAGCAAACAGGAUUAGAUACCCUUGUAGUC
This 440-nucleotide ribosomal RNA is filed under the name uncultured bacterium. RNAcentral's name for it is "partial 16S ribosomal RNA". It matches the Rfam family "Bacterial small subunit ribosomal RNA", at positions 338 to 795 of the family's 1533-position model. The record is from RNAcentral.